AUUUUUCACAUCUACGAGAAAUAAGGAGAGAGAAGAGCGUGAGCGUCCUUGUCUCCUGCUUAACGGGUUGAGCCCUGGAGUGGGCCAACGCAGUGUGGUAUGGCCCAGACUCGGCGAGGGAUCACUACCCCGAGUUCACCCGCCGGUUCUGGGCCGUGUUUGACCACCCACCAGAAGGCCGGGCAGCGGGUGAACGGCUGUUCCACCUGCGACAGGAGACGAGGAGCGCGCAGGACUUUGCUCUGGAGUUCCGGACCUUUGCUGCUGGGGCGGGGUGGAACGACAUGGCCCUGAUGGACCAUUAUUGUUGUAGCCUCCGGGAGGACGUCCGCCGGGAGCUCGCCUGUCGGGACACUACCCUCUCCCUCGACGAACUCAUCGACAUGUCCAUCCGUCUGGACAAUCUGCUGGCUGCCCGCGGGCGUCCAGAACGGGCCCUGUUGGUUCCACCUCCAGGCCCUCCAGCUCCCAUCCCCAUGGAGCUAGGGGGGGCCGCAUCGAGGGGGACCGGAGGAGGAGGCUCCUCCUGUACCCGGUGUGGUUCGAGAGGACACACUGCCGACCGGUGCUGGAGGAGCUCGUCUGGGAGUCGGGAUGGCAGGCAGAGCACUCCUCGUUCACCCCAGAUCCUCUCUAGCGUUGUCAGGUUGGAUGGGGAGCGUCCCUGCACAGCUAUUUUCAGGUCUCUCCAGAGAUGUUUGAUUGGGUUUAAGUCCGGGCUCUUGCUGAGCCACUCAAAAGACAUUCAGAGACUUGUCCCAAAGCCACUCCUGUGUUGUCUUAGCUGUAUGCUUAGGGUUGUUGUCCUGUUGGAAGGUGAACCUCCGCCCCAGUCUGAGGUCCUGAGCGCUCUGGAGCUGGUUUUCAUCAAGGAUCUCUCUGUACUUUACUCCGUUCAUCUUUCCCUCGAUCCUGACUAGUCUCCCAGUCCCUGCCGCUGAAAAACAUCCCCACAGCAUGAUGCUGCCACCAUCCUGCUUCACCGUAGGGGUGGUGCCAGAUUUCCUCCAGAAGUGACG
RNAcentral lists this long non-coding RNA (1019 nucleotides) under Salmo salar (Atlantic salmon). RNAcentral describes it as "lncRNA (ENSSSAG00000095470.1)". The record is from RNAcentral. Lineage: Eukaryota; Metazoa; Chordata; Actinopteri; Salmoniformes; Salmonidae.